CGUUAGUUUCAUAAUUGAAAUUUAAAAUAAAAUAAAAUAUAUGCCUAAGAGAGAUCCUUUAUGACUGUCUAUAUCCUCUUUCUUCUUCAUCAAGCCUCUCUAUUUAUUAUCUUCCUCGUCAAGCUAUUUCUCUCGUCCAUAAGAUUUUUCUCCCAAGUCUCUUUCUUAUCUUCUAAACCCUAUGUGCCAUCUUUUCGAUUCA
RNAcentral lists this long non-coding RNA (202 nucleotides) under Elaeis guineensis (African oil palm). RNAcentral's name for it is "long non-coding RNA (EGUI_LNC007153)". The record is from RNAcentral. Lineage: Eukaryota; Viridiplantae; Streptophyta; Magnoliopsida; Arecales; Arecaceae.